GAUGAACGCUGGCGGCGUGCCUAAUACAUGCAAGUCGAGCGAACGGACGAGAAGCUUGCUUCUCUGAUGUUAGCGGCGGACGGGUGAGUAACACGUGGAUAACCUACCUAUAAGACUGGGAUAACUUCGGGAAACCGGAGCUAAUACCGGAUAAUAUUUUGAACCGCAUGGUUCAAAAGUGAAAGACGGUCUUGCUGUCACUUAUAGAUGGAUCCGCGCUGCAUUAGCUAGUUGGUAAGGUAACGGCUUACCAAGGCAACGAUGCAUAGCCGACCUGAGAGGGUGAUCGGCCACACUGGAACUGAGGCACGGUCCAGACUCCUACGGGAGGCAGCAGUAGGGAAUCUUCCGCAAUGGGCGAAAGCCCGACGGAGCAACGCCGCGUGAGUGAUGAAGGUCUUCGGAUCGUAAAACUCUGUUAUUAGGGAAGAACAUAUGUGUAAGUAACUGUGCACAUCUUGACGGUACCUAAUCAGAAAGCCACGGCUAACUACGUGCCAGCAGCCGCGGUAAUACGUAGGUGGCAAGCGUUAUCCGGAAUUAUUGGGCGUAAAGCGCGCGUAGGCGGCUUUUUAAGUCUGAUGUGAAAGCCCACGGCUCAACCGUGGAGGGUCAUUGGAAACUGGAAAACUUGAGUGCAGAAGAGGAAAGUGGAAUUCCAUGUGUAGCGGUGAAAUGCGCAGAGAUAUGGAGGAACACCAGUGGCGAAGGCGACUUUCUGGUCUGUAACUGACGCUGAUGUGCGAAAGCGUGGGGAUCAAACAGGAUUAGAUACCCUGGUAGUCCACGCCGUAAACGAUGAGUGCUAAGUGUUAGGGGGUUUCCGCCCCUUAGUGCUGCAGCUAACGCAUUAAGCACUCCGCCUGGGGAGUACGACCGCAAGGUUGAAACUCAAAGGAAUUGACGGGGACCCGCACAAGCGGUGGAGCAUGUGGUUUAAUUCGAAGCAACGCGAAGAACCUUACCAAAUCUUGACAUCCUUUGACAACUCUAGAGAUAGAGCUUUCCCCUUCGGGGGACAAAGUGACAGGUGGUGCAUGGUUGUCGUCAGCUCGUGUCGUGAGAUGUUGGGUUAAGUCCCGCAACGAGCGCAACCCUUAAGCUUAGUUGCCAUCAUUAAGUUGGGCACUCUAAGUUGACUGCCGGUGACAAACCGGAGGAAGGUGGGGAUGACGUCAAAUCAUCAUGCCCCUUAUGAUUUGGGCUACACACGUGCUACAAUGGACAAUACAAAGGGCAGCGAAACCGUGAGGUCAAGCAAAUCCCAUAAAGUUGUUCUCAGUUCGGAUUGUAGUCUGCAACUCGACUACAUGAAGCUGGAAUCGCUAGUAAUCGUAGAUCAGCAUGCUACGGUGAAUACGUUCCCGGGUCU
RNAcentral lists this ribosomal RNA (1372 nucleotides) under uncultured bacterium. RNAcentral's name for it is "bacterial SSU rRNA". It matches the Rfam family "Bacterial small subunit ribosomal RNA", at positions 28 to 1381 of the family's 1533-position model. The record is from RNAcentral.